RNAcentral lists this long non-coding RNA (1275 nucleotides) under Phasianus colchicus (ring-necked pheasant). Its description in RNAcentral is "lncRNA (ENSPCLG00000007830.1)". The record is from RNAcentral. Lineage: Eukaryota; Metazoa; Chordata; Aves; Galliformes; Phasianidae.
AUCUUACCCAGCAGGCAUCCCUGCGGAGAGAAGGAGAGGCUCAGCCCACUGACUAGUCCCAGAAGUCAGUUUUGUCCUCCUCAUUUGUCUGCAAAGCAGAAUAUUCAACACAUAGCGACCAAACCCACGAGGGAACAGAAGUACGAGCACCAGCGAUGCAGUAUCUUCAGCAACCAUGCUGUUUUGGGUUCAGGCUUACACCCACCCACAUAUGUUGUAUUAUACCAUUGCAUAACCAGAGAUCUCAGGAGCCUGAAUUCUCAGUCUCUGUGGCUGCACACUGCAACUGCUGUGCCAAUGAAAAUAGUGGUAUCAUAUGCUGAUGCACCAUCCCGUGGAAGUGCUACUAGCAUGGCUUUCCCUGAGACACGGGGUAUUUCUUCAGGCCUUCAUUUCUCCACUAGAAAGCCACCCAAGAAAAUGAUAUGCUAAAGAGGAAAUUUCCAAAAACAUUUGUUAAUGGCUGUGUAAAUUACAAAUGCUGUCAGUAAUAGCUUGUUAGUACAGAACCAAAAGGAGGGUAAGCCCCAGUCUGCUAUUACAAAGGUAGUACUGAAAUCACGCCAACAACAUACGAAAAUAUAAAACUCAGCUGGAGUCACAGGUUUGAACUUUGAUUGUGGGUAAUCGGCUGCACAGCACUAUCGUUAACGGUGGGAGACAUCUGACCGCGUAUCUGCGCAAAGUGAAAGCGUGCCUGCAUUUCUGCAAGCACGCUGACAGCAGGCACGACUUUAUCCACAGGGCUGUGAUGGAAGUUCUGGGAGCAGAGGGGAAGAAGUGAGGGGAGAGGUGCGAGGGGCCGCGGGAGGGCGCCGAGCCGCCUCGCAGUGACCGGGGGCCUACAGAGCUGCGUCGGAACUUUGCUCUGCUGUAUCUCGCGUCAGCUAGAGCAAACGGUGAUCGCAAACCCUCCUGUCCUUUCUCACUGUCGGAGAGCUCACGAAUCGAAGUGCUAAACCUGUGUAAUGAGCAGACGAAAGUGACCUCGGGUCACCUAGUAACGGCGACUGAGCCGAGUGACGCGGCGUUAUAGCAGACCGGGCGCCGGCCCGGGGCGGUGCAGAGGGCAGAAGAGCCGCUCCCGGCGCGCACAAGUUCGCAGCCCGGCCCGGGGCUACCCGCGCACGGCUGGCGCCAGCCCCGCGUUCGGAGCGCCGAGUGGCGCCGCCUGCCGAGGGGACCCGGAACCGCAGGCCGGGGCCGAAGGGUCAGCCGCGCGCCCGGCACCCCCGCGCCCGGCCCGGCGCCUUCCCCCCGGCCGCGGAGGGCGAC